This 453-nucleotide ribosomal RNA is filed under the name uncultured Porphyromonadaceae bacterium. RNAcentral describes it as "bacterial SSU rRNA". It matches the Rfam family "Bacterial small subunit ribosomal RNA", at positions 341 to 792 of the family's 1533-position model. The record is from RNAcentral. Lineage: Bacteria; Pseudomonadati; Bacteroidota; Bacteroidia; Bacteroidales; Porphyromonadaceae.
ACGGAAGGCAGCAGUGAGGAAUAUUGGUCAAUGGGCGGAAGCCUGAACCAGCCAAGUCGCGUGAAGGAAGAAGGUAUUAUGUAUUGUAAACUUCUUUAGCAGCAGAGAAAUAAGGUGGACGUGUCCACUGAUGCUAGUAUGCUGAGAAUAAGCAUCGGCUAACUCCGUGCCAGCAGCCGCGGUAAUACGGAGGAUGCGAGCGUUAUCCGGAUUUAUUGGGUUUAAAGGGUGCGCAGGCGGCUUUCUAAGUCAGUGGUCAAAUCGUGGUGCUCAACGCCAUCCCGCCAUUGAUACUGGAGAGCUUGAUUGCGGUCGAGGUUUGCGGAAUUCGUCGUGUAGCGGUGAAAUGCAUAGAUAUGACGAAGAACACCGAUUGCGUAGGCAGCAGACCAGGCCGUAAAUGACGCUCAUGCACGAAAGUGCGGGGAUCGAACAGGAUUAGAUACCCUGGUA